ACUUCAAGAGCACAUGGUGGAUGCCUAGACACUGUUAGACGAUGAAGGACGCCGCAGGGUGCGAUAAGUUUCGGUGAGGUCCCAAGCAACCUUUGACCCGGAAAUUUCCGAAUGGGGGAACCCACUCUCUAUUGGAGAGUACUGUACAGUGAAUACAUAGCUGUAUGGAGAAGACCUGGUGAAGUGAAACAUCUCAGUAACCAGAGGAAAAUAAAAUAACAAAAGACAUCUUUUUUCUUACCUUACCUCGUCCUCGCAAGAGGCGCGGGAUAAGGUAGUUAAGAGAUGUUAUGAUUCCGUUAGUAGUGGCGAGCGAACGCGGAACAGCCUAAACCUAUAUCUGUGUUGAGCGUAGGAAAAAUUGUCUUUUGACUUCUUGGACUACGUUCUUAAAGGACAGACCGUUGCAGUAUAGGUGUUGUAGGACGUAACGUCGGUUAUCUGUUAUACCGGUUACUUAUAUACAUAUAUAAUCAAAGACUCCUGGAACGGAGCACCACAGAGGGUGAUAGUCCCGUAGAUGAAAUAAAUAUAUAUAGGUAAUGUUAUGUUCCUGAGUAGGGCGGAACACGUGAAAUUCCGUUUGAAUCUGUCGCGACUAUGCGAUAAGGCUAAAUACUAACAGUGAUCGAUAGUGAACUAGUACCGUGAGGGAAAGGUGAAAAGUAGCCCGGAGAGGGCGGUGAAAUAGUACCUGAAACCGUGUGCUUACAAUGAGUUGGAGCUCUAGUCUAUAUCUUCGGAUAUAGGCAGGGUGACAGCGUUCCUAUUGAAGAAUGAGCCUACGAGUUAUUCUUUGUGGCAAGCUUAAGGACCUAUGGUCUGAAGGCGUAGCGAAAGCGAGUCUUAACCGGCGAUUAAGUAGCUGGCACAUAACCCGAAACUAGGUGAGCAAUCCAUGGCCAGGUUGAACUCUGUCGAAAGACAGAGGGAGGACCGAACCCACGCACCGUGCAACAUGCGGGGAUGAGCUGUGGAUAGCGGAGAAAUUCCAAUCGAACCUAGUAAUAGCU
Molecule: ribosomal RNA, 1013 nt
Filed under: Candidatus Parcubacteria bacterium
Lineage: Bacteria; Candidatus Parcubacteria
Description: partial 23S ribosomal RNA
Rfam family: Bacterial large subunit ribosomal RNA
Source: RNAcentral